Molecule: ribosomal RNA, 281 nt
Filed under: Salmonella enterica subsp. enterica serovar Typhimurium
Lineage: Bacteria; Pseudomonadati; Pseudomonadota; Gammaproteobacteria; Enterobacterales; Enterobacteriaceae
Description: partial 23S ribosomal RNA
Rfam family: Bacterial large subunit ribosomal RNA
Source: RNAcentral
AGUACCGUGAGGGAAAGGCGAAAAGAACCCCGGCGAGGGGAGUGAAAAAGAACCUGAAACCGUGUACGUACAAGCAGUGGGAGCCCCACCACUAAGCCAGUGGUGAACUCCACAUCCGCAUCCUUUGCUGAGGAUACGGUUAACGGAGCGAAAGCGACGUUCAACCGCAAAACAAGCAGAGGGGGCUUAGUGGUGGGGUGACUGCGUACCUUUUGUAUAAUGGGUCAGCGACUUAUAUUCUGUAGCAAGGUUAACCGUAUAGGGGAGCCGGAGGGAAACCG